RNAcentral lists this ribosomal RNA (465 nucleotides) under uncultured bacterium. RNAcentral's name for it is "partial 16S ribosomal RNA". It matches the Rfam family "Bacterial small subunit ribosomal RNA", at positions 338 to 795 of the family's 1533-position model. The record is from RNAcentral.
CCUACGGGGUGCAGCAGUAGGGAAUCUUCCACAAUGGACGAAAGUCUGAUGGAGCAACGCCGCGUGAGUGAAGAAGGGUUUCGGCUCGUAAAGCUCUGUUGGUAGUGAAGAAAGAUAGAGGUAGUAACUGGCCUUUAUUUGACGGUAAUUACUUAGAAAGUCACGGCUAACUACGUGCCAGCAGCCGCGGUAAUACGUAGGUGGCAAGCGUUGUCCGGAUUUAUUGGGCGUAAAGCGAGUGCAGGCGGUUCAAUAAGUCUGAUGUGAAAGCCUUCGGCUCAACCGGAGAAUUGCAUCAGAAACUGUUGAACGUGAGUGCAGAAGAGGAGAGUGGAACUCCAUGUGUAGCGGUGGAAUGCGUAGAUAUAUGGAAGAACACCAGUGGCGAAGGCGGCUCUCUGGGCUGCAACUGACGCUGAGGCUCGAAAGCAUGGGUAGCGAACAGGAUUAGAUACCCGGGUAGUC